AAGUCGUAACAAGGUUUCCGUAGGUGAACCUGCGGAAGGAUCAUUCAUGCUUUAAAGGCAGCAGCUGAGUGUGUAUGGUAAAACAUAUAUAUGAGGUUGUUGUUUUGUUUCUAUCAAAUGUCCCAAACCAAACGCGCUAUGUACAACCCUAAAAAACCGUACUCAGCCUGAAAAACUGGGGAAUACCUGAUCUACCGUCGACGUGCUUGGACGCGUUCUUUUUAGAUGUUAGUCGGAAAACAUUACCAUUCGGAUUCGGCGGUUUACAUAAUUUUUAGUUAAGUCCUUAAUAUGGUGGAUUCUGUAUUGGGCAUGUGUAGAAAUACGAAACAUAUACAACUCUUUGCAAUGGAUAUCUUGGUUCUC
This 366-nucleotide unclassified non-coding RNA is filed under the name fungal sp. RNAcentral's name for it is "partial internal transcribed spacer region". The stretch from base 1 to 46 matches the Rfam family "Eukaryotic small subunit ribosomal RNA", at positions 1786 to 1831 of the family's 1831-position model. The record is from RNAcentral. Lineage: Eukaryota; Fungi.